AGAGCGAGGAGACACAAUGUAGGUAGCAAGAAGUCCCCGGUUCAGGUGCGGACCCGCCGACAUGGGCAACCAGAGGAUUUAUAACUGAAAUACAUUAUGAAAUUCUAGUUUCGGUUCCCAGCGAUUCUGUUAGUUGUAGAUUCUAAACUAAGAUUGUAUGGCGUUUUCCUUCACGCAGCAACUGAACUGAGUUCCAGAGAAAGGUGCUGUUUACCUAGCAUCAUCUUACCUUGGCUCAUGGUGACCCAAACCUCCGUGUAAAAUGAGAAAUCUUUCUACAGUCCAACUUACUUCCUAUGAGAAAUUGAAUGUGAAGGUCACUUCCUCAGGACUACUGAAGACUUUGAAAGGGACUAUGUUGGUCUUCCCUACGGAUGGAGGGUUUCCUGCGAUCUUAACCAUUCAAC
This 407-nucleotide long non-coding RNA is filed under the name Rattus norvegicus (Norway rat). Its description in RNAcentral is "long non-coding RNA NONRATT003371". The record is from RNAcentral. Lineage: Eukaryota; Metazoa; Chordata; Mammalia; Rodentia; Muridae.